CGGUGCUCGAGCUGUGGUGCGUGCCGCUAAGUUGUGCGUUCCAGGGUGCACUCGCCGGCGAGGCUGCACGGCGCCGGUUUCAUUGCUAAAAUCCGACGGACUUGUUGCAGAACUCGUUUUUUUUGUCGGGAAAGGGCUUCCCCGUGUAACUUUACAGCAGUUAUCGUAGAUAAGACUUGCAAAUUACAGAUGUGGACGGUGAGGGAACGGGAAUUUCACUGAAAGCGCCUGAGAACCAGUAAGAGACCUGCAACAGCUUUGUGCUCCACUGGCGAAUGCUUCCUCCCCUAAUACACAUUAUGUGUGCUUGGAGACACAAGGAGUAAGAUACAGCCCCUCAAGGGACUCGUCAUAGGGAGAGGACACAGCUUUGGGAAUAAAGGGGCCACAAAGGAGGAGAGAGGAGUUUGCUGAAACUUCCCAAGCUCCCAUUCCAGCAGUUCCUGAAGGAUUCAUUUCUCUCUGAGGAUCUCAUGAGGUGGCUUAGCAGCUAGAAUCUCUUCCUUAACAGUGGGAAGAACAACUCCUGGAAAUUUAGGUCGACUUUGACUGGAUUUAAAAGAAAGCUGUACAAUUCCACUUCUGUAUAUACAACCAAAGGAAAUGAGAUGUGCAUACCCAUGUUCAAUGAAGCAUUAUUCACAAUAGCCAAAAUGUGGAACCAAUCCUUAAACAAAAGGAAAACAGAAAAUCUGCUCAAGUCCCUGCAGGCACCUGAGAAAAUCACAACCCACACUUGCGAACCCCUAGGAGACCUAAAGCUGUGGUUUUACAAAUAAACAGAUAAGUAACAUUCCUACUCUUUCCUAUAGGUACUCAAUCUUCUUAACAACUCCCAUCCCACACAGGUUUGCAUCCCCAGCAGAUACAUAUGGCUAUGUGGUCACCCAUUCGAUCAGCCUAUAAAAGACUUGUCUUAUUUGAUAUUGUGAAACCCAUGGUUAUCAGUGUAUAUGAAAAUGUUUGGUUCAGGGGUCAAUGUACAAUAUGACAAGCAAAGUCCUCUAAUACACAGUUAUAUAAAAUCACUCACCUGAGAGCCAAGUGGACAAUUGGCCUUAUAUUGGCUGGAGUUGGAGCCCCAGAGGGAAAAUUUGCCUAUUAUUAGGCAACUCUUCAAAACUUUACUUAUUCGUUUCUAAACACUGUCUCAUAAAAUGGGGGAUGCUUUAGAUGAAUUAAGAUUAGCACUAGAUUACUUAUUCGUUGAAAAUUAGCACUAGAUUUCUUAUUGGUUGAACAAGGAGGAGUGUGCACCAUAAUCAAUAUAACCUGCUGCAGUUAUGUAAACACCUCAGGUCACAUAGAAGAAGAUAUACAGAAAAUACAUGAACAAGCUGUGUGGUUGCGUAAAUAUAACCAAGGCACCAAUCCCAACUGUAUCUGGUCAGCCAUUAGAAGCACCCUCCUGAGUCUCACUUGGUUGUUGCCCUUCCUAGGAACUUUGAUAGUUGUCUUAUUAUUAAUCUUUGGCCCUUGCUUGUUUAAAUUCUUGGUAAAGUUUGUGUUUUUUAGAUUACAACAAUUCCACAUAAAGAUGAUACUGACACAAAGCUUCCAAUCCAUCCCGUCUUCUGAACCGGGAAAUAAAGACACCCUGCCUUUAGGUGUCUUUAGAUCUAGAUCAGGCAUCUAGAGAUUUUUACUCCUCCAAUACUUGGCAGGGUCUAUGCCCGUAGACUCAUCAGGAUACCAUGUAAAUGAGGACCUCCCUUGGUACCCCAGAGGCCAACUGUAGACCCUUAUGAGAAAAUCCUGUCCCCAAAAUGAACAUCCACUGUCAGCAGGAAGAAGUUACAGAAGACCAGCCUUUGCCCUUACGAUUAAGGGUCCUCUUGUAAGUAGAGAGGGGAAUGUUAGGAAAGCAGGAGCCUAGGUGAUCCAGAGUGACACCAUUUUAAAAUAAACUCCACCUGAAAACUAGCAAGGCAUCUGCACACAUCUGUUUAGCAAGUAUAUACUUCUGUAACUGGAAUAAAAAGCGUUAUUUUAGAAUAUGCCUAUAGUUUGUAAUAAUUAGCCGAGGGAAAAAAAGUUCACAUUGGUGUAGGAAAAGUGCCCUAAUGGUCAUGGGUAAUAAUGGGACCGUGGUUCUGGUCAGUGAUUUGAUGGAAGGGGUGUAGAUAAUAUAUUGUUGUAAAUAAUAAAAAUAAAAAAUUGUUGUAAGUAAUAAAAAUAAAAUAAUAUUGUUGUAAGUAAUAAAGUAGGAGAAAUAUUUGGUCUUUUGCUUUUGGGUUAGUGCAACAGUAGUACCAUUACUUGGAGGAGAAGUUAGAGAAGGACAAGAAUAGGCUUGAAUAAGAUGAGUGAGAAGAGAGAAAAAUUCCGUAAGUGGAGAUGGCCAGGGAACACCAGGGCAGCAGAAUCUAACUCUGAAUUUAAUGCUGUUGUCUGUUCAUAUUGCACUGCGCUGUAAUCUCCCUAUCUUUCCUAAACCAUUGGCAAAGUCUGCUAUCCACUGGGGCCUUGGGUCGGUGGUGCUUUGGGAAAUACCAGAAGAGGGAAAGUACGGCAAAUGUGCAGUGUCACAGAUGAUAGGAGGAAAGCUGGCCAGUGGGAUGAUUAAAACAAUUUCGGUGGGAGUGGGAAUUCAGACCAUGUAAAUGGUCUGAAUUAAGAAAAUUUCAAGAAACAAAAAAUGUUUCUAAUGAGCCAAAGUGAAAGCUCUUCAUGAUUUCUUUAUAGAGGCUCUCUAGUGCUUGUCCUAAUUUCCUGAAAUCUCAUGGGUAUCUUACUCUCCUGGUGCCCGCCUCAAACAUUCACUGUAGCAAUUAUAUGAGCAGCCUAGAGAAUCCCAAUCCCAGUGGUCUUGCUCCCUGGAUCUACUUUCUCUUAAAAAUCAUUCCCCUAAGUUUCCGUCACUUGGUUGAAGUUUAGUAGAUAUCUCCACAUCUCCAGCUAGAACAGCACCAGAAUUUCAGGACUAGGGCAAUAGAGUCUGAUAUUAAAUUCUAUUUCUAUCUAUCUAUCUAUCAUCUAUCUAUCUAUCUAUCUAUCUAUCUAUCUAUCUAUCUAUCUAUCUACAGAACAAUUUGUGGGAUAGUAGCUUUGGGGUCCCAGAUCUAGGAUGGGCCUGGUCCUCCAUGCUGGUUCUCCUGGGUGAUAUUUCUGUUAGUUUGAACAGUAAUCACACUUUUAUUACUGUUUCAUCUUUUUUUUUUCACUCUUAGACUGAUUUUAUCAUGUGUAUAAAACAUACACACACCUACAUCUCAAGGAUAAACAUUAAUCCUUGAAAAAUAUGUGGUCUAAAACUAUAUUGAGGAGAGAAAGAUAGGACACUUUAAUUGCCACAUGAUUAACACGAGGUCACCACACAGCUUUCACAAAUCUACAAGUCAUUCUAUUUAGGCUGAGUCAAGUUCUCCCUUGGGCCAGCCAGAGCACAAAUAAUGGAGCAAUGUGACUCUUCAAUGACAGAUCUCUGAUUUCCAGAAAAGAGACUUUGAAAUACCCAAUUCUAGUAAAUAUGCAAUUAAAUUUCCAGCUAAAUGACCUUUGCUCCUGUAGUCUUCAUCUUGGGGAAGGGAAAGAAGUCUUAUUCUGUUUAAUAGUUUGAUUUUUAUAAUAGGGUUUGUCUCUGUUAUAAAUCUUGUUUGAUAUUUAAAAUGUUAGCUAAGAGAAAACUUCUGUUUGUUUUUAUUUAGUGGGAAGAAACUAACCCUCAUUGAGUGCCUAGUUAACAUCAGGCACUUUGUACACAUAAUCAAUUGAAUCUUGACCACAACCCUGUGAGGUGAAAAAUGAGAAGAUUAAAUAAGCCAUGGGAAGAUUUUUUAAAAUGACAUGAAACUCCAAGGGUAAAAAGUAGGCUGGGAAAUCUUAGGAUGGUGAACCAUCAUGUUUCCUGAAUGUGAAUCCUGUACCUGGUUUGACUGUAGUCACCCCUUCUCCAACACUCUCCACGAUGCCGGCUGCCUCAUGGCCUAAAAUCACAGGAAGUGGGGUCACCAUGGUACCACUAACCACGUGGUCAUCUGUGCCACAGAUUCCUACAGCCACCAUCUACAGAGUGAAGAGAAGAUGUUUAUAAAAGAUUGAUGUUCAACAUGAUCAAUGCCAAAUAAAUAUCAGAAUACUUGGAAGUAAAGUACUAAUAGUAGGAGUUCCUGAUUAUCAGGUGCCUAUGAUGUGACAGGCACAUUGUGGCCUGUGCUCGACCAGGAGACUGGUGAGUCCUUGUGGAUUUCUUCCCUGCUCAAGUGCAUAAAGCAGGUGUAUUGCAUAGCUUUUCCAGGCUGAGAUCAAAGACGGAGAUGUGCCUACCCGCAGAUCCUAGAUGGCCAUGUUUGCAACAGAGGUAAUGAUGAGCAGUGCGAAGAUGUGACUCCAAAGCCUGGAGAAGGACAGACCAGCAUCCCUGCAAGAGAUCCAACUGUCUUCUUUUCCGCAGAGGUCCAUAAUUUACAUGGGCCUGACAAAGAAUACUGUAACUUGCAGAAAUUAUCUUCAGUUCAAAUCCUUCAUUUUGGGGGUUAAAUAACUUGCCCAAGAUGUCGAGGGAGCGGAAAUACUUGCUGGUCUUGCAGCGGCUGUGGAGCCUGGAAUCCUGCCAAGAAGAGCAUGUGUGAGAGAUCAAAAUGUUUGCUUACAUUCCUCCUGUGAAGGGAGUUGGGAAAUAACCUAAGAAGCCCAAUCCAAAAACAAAGAUGUACCAUCCAGUCUUCUCUGUGAGAACCAAACUACAAACCAUCUGAAUGUUCCAAAAGUGUUUUGAUGAUGUAUUGAUGUAUUUUAAAUUAUCCUGAAAAUGUUCUUGGCAGAUGCUUAAACAUGUAAUUACUGAGAUGAUGUAGAAAUACCAAGUGUUUAUUAAAACAAUACAGAGUAAUACAAAUGGUAUGUUUGUCGCAAUAUAAAAGUAUCUAAAAAUUAAAGAGUUCUUUAAUGGUGGAGAUUGUUUUCCUUUUUGAAGUUAAAAUAUAAAUUUUUGUAAAAAGCACAAAUUAUUACUAUUUAUAGCUAACAUUUAUGGAGUGCUGACUAUGCUCAUUUUUGAGCAUACAUUGCCUCAUUUAGUGCAAUGUUUAGCAUUAACUUAUGAGGUAAAUGCCAUUGCCAUGCACAUUGUACAGAUGAAGACAUUGAGGUUUAGAGAGAUUGCAU
RNAcentral lists this long non-coding RNA (5106 nucleotides) under Homo sapiens (human). Its description in RNAcentral is "HSALNT0075355". Lineage: Eukaryota; Metazoa; Chordata; Mammalia; Primates; Hominidae. The record is from RNAcentral.